CGAUGUGGAGCGAAACCCGAAAAGNACCCCCAGUUCGGAUUGCAGGCUGAAAUUCGCCUGCAUGAAGCCGGAAUUGCUAGUAAUGGCAGGUCAGCAUACUGCCGUGAAUACGUUCCCGGGCCUUGUACACACCGCCCGUCACACCAUGAGAGUUGGGGAUACCCGAAGCCUGUGAGCCAACAAUAUAUUGAGGCAGCAGUCGAAGGUAGAAUCAAUGAUUGGGGUGAAGUCGUAACAAGGUACC
Molecule: ribosomal RNA, 244 nt
Filed under: uncultured bacterium
Lineage: Bacteria
Description: partial 16S ribosomal RNA
Rfam family: Bacterial small subunit ribosomal RNA
Source: RNAcentral